Pteronotus mesoamericanus is the source of this 107-nucleotide small nuclear RNA. Lineage: Eukaryota; Metazoa; Chordata; Mammalia; Chiroptera; Mormoopidae. The record is from RefSeq and is a predicted model, not a curated record.
GUACUCGCUUCAGCAGCACGUAUACUAAAAUUGGAACAACACAGAGAAGAUUAGUAUGUCCCCUGUGCAAGGAUGACAUGCAAAUUCGUGAGGUGGUCCAUAUUUUU